Molecule: ribosomal RNA, 272 nt
Filed under: uncultured bacterium
Lineage: Bacteria
Description: partial 16S ribosomal RNA
Rfam family: Bacterial small subunit ribosomal RNA
Source: RNAcentral
UAGGGAAUCUUCCACAAUGGACGCAAGUCUGAUGGAGCAACGCCGCGUGAGUGAAGAAGGUUUUCGGAUCGUAAAACUCUGUUGUUAGAGAAGAACAAGGAUGAGAAGAGAAUGUUCAUCCCUUGACGGUAUCUAACCAGAAAGCCACGGCUAACUACGUGCCAGCAGCCGCGGUAAUACGUAGGUGGCAAGCGUUGUCCGGAUUUAUUGGGCGUAAAGCGAGCGCAGGCGGUUCUUUAAGUCUGAUGUGAAAGCCCCCCGGCUCAACCGGG